RNAcentral lists this ribosomal RNA (467 nucleotides) under uncultured bacterium. Its description in RNAcentral is "partial 16S ribosomal RNA". It matches the Rfam family "Bacterial small subunit ribosomal RNA", at positions 35 to 507 of the family's 1533-position model. The record is from RNAcentral.
GGGGGGGGGGGGGGGGGGGGGGGGGGGGGGCGGGGCGGGCGGGGGGGCCGGGGGUGUGGGGGGGGGUCGGGUGGCGGGCGGGUGAGUGCGCCGUGGGGAACCUGCCCUUGACUUUGGGGUAACUUCGGGGGACUGGGGCUCAUACCGGAUAGGAGCUCCUGCUGCAUGGUGGGGGGUGGACGGGUUCGGCGGUUGGGUAUGGCCUCGCGGCUUAUCAGCUUGUUGGUGGGGUAGUGGCUUACCCAGGCUUUGACGGGUAGCCGGCCUGCGAGGGUGACCGGCCACAUUGGGACUGAGAUACGGCCAGACUCCUACGGGAGGCAGCAGUGGGGAAUAUUGCACAAUGGGCGGAAGCCGGAUGCAGCAACGCCGCGUGCGGGAUGACGGCCUUCGGGUUGUAAACCGCUUUCGCCUGUGACGAAGCGUGAGUGACGGUAAUGGGUAAAGAAGCACCGGCUAACUACGUG